CGGUGAAAUAUCUCAAUCAUCUAUGCCUAAAGUUGUGCAGUAUUUCGGUGUAAUUUCGUGGCAGUUUCUAUCUACAGAUUAUGCGGUUGUGGGAUGUGAUGGCAUCUGAAAUACACAAUUGAAUUUAGAGUUAGUUUGUCACUUUCAUUCAUGUAGGGGUCCAGGCUCAGCAAUGAGAACAGAGCUGCUAAGUAAUUAUAAGUAAUUGCACCAAACUGCAUUCCAAUCGACAACCCUCAUUAUAAUCUCUCCAAACGCCUGUCACUCUUCUCUGACCAGAUUUCUCAAAUCCCUGGCCUCCCAGCUCAACCACGCAGGACCCAUGAAUGACGCGUGUCACUGUUCAACACAGGCUCUCUUGUAAACACAACACCCGCAACACAUGUAUCAAGUGGCCGAUCGUUUCGGUUUCACCGCGAUCAAAAUUUGCUUCGGGCUGGGUGAACCUCUCGCCGCUACCUCAAAGUAUCAUAUGCAAACUGUGUGCGUUUGUUAUGGAGCUCUGGCAGCGACUGAUGAGUGUCUCAUUAUCUCCACACCAGCCGUACACAGUAAGAAGAGCAUAAUCAAAGCCUGGGGAGGAGAGUCUUCGCAAGUGCCAAAGGAACAGGCUUAACCAUGACAGGCUCGACUUGCAGAGCUUUAUUUUGAGCAGAGCACGGAGACUGUUAACACAGGAGGGGGAAAAACGUCUGACAAGCUCUUGUCCUGUCUGAGGCUCUCCACCGCUGUACGUUAUAUAUGUGCAUUGCAUUUGCAAACGAUUCUUCCAUUUGUCAGGCUGUUGGCAAACCUGUCAUGCUCACCCGGUGAAAAGCAAAUUAUUUAUUUAUUUGAGUUCAAUAUAAUUAGAAGCAUUACCCCACUGCUUGGCAGUGACACCUUUUUAUGUUAUCAAGUGCACAAGUGCAAAGAGUUAAGAUACGCUUGUUGGAGGUGUGGAAGUUUUCACUUUUUUAAGCUUUAAUAUAAUUAAAUAGCAACAGGAUGGA
Cyprinus carpio carpio is the source of this 992-nucleotide long non-coding RNA. The record is from Ensembl. Lineage: Eukaryota; Metazoa; Chordata; Actinopteri; Cypriniformes; Cyprinidae.